GACGAACGCUGGCGGCGUGCUUAACACAUGCAAGUCGAACGGAAAGGCCCUGCUUUUGUGGGGUGCUCGAGUGGCGAACGGGUGAGUAACACGUGAGUAACCUGCCCUUGACUUUGGGAUAACUUCAGGAAACUGGGGCUAAUACCGGAUAGGAGCUCCUGCUGCAUGGUGGGGGUUGGAAAGUUUCGGCGGUUGGGGAUGGACUCGCGGCUUAUCAGCUUGUUGGUGGGGUAGUGGCUUACCAAGGCUUUGACGGGUAGCCGGCCUGAGAGGGUGACCGGCCACAUUGGGACUGAGAUACGGCCCAGACUCCUACGGGAGGCAGCAGUGGGGAAUAUUGCACAAUGGGCGGAAGCCUGAUGCAGCAACGCCGCGUGCGGGAUGACGGCCUUCGGGUUGUAAACCGCUUUCGCCUGUGACGAAGCGUGAGUGACGGUAAUGGGUAAAGAAGCACCGGCUAACUACGUGCCAGCAGCCGCGGUGAUACGUAGGGUGCGAGCGUUGUCCGGAUUUAUUGGGCGUAAAGGGCUCGUAGGUGGUUGAUCGCGUCGGAAGUGUAAUCUUGGGGCUUAACCCUGAGCGUGCUUUCGAUACGGGUUGACUUGAGGAAGGUAGGGGAGAAUGGAAUUCCUGGUGGAGCGGUGGAAUGCGCAGAUAUCAGGAGGAACACCAGUGGCGAAGGCGGUUCUCUGGGCCUUUCCUGACGCUGAGGAGCGAAAGCGUGGGGAGCGAACAGGCUUAGAUACCCUGGUAGUCCACGCUGUAAACGGUGGGUACUAGGUGUGGGGUCCAUUCCACGGGUUCCGUGCCGUAGCUAACGCUUUAAGUACCCCGCCUGGGGAGUACGGCCGCGAGGCUAAAACUCAAAGGAAUUGACGGGGCCCCGCACAAGCGGCGGAGCAUGCGGAUUAAUUCGAUGCAACGCGUAGAACUUUACCUGGGUUUGACAUGGAUCGGGAGUGCUCAGAGAUGGGUGUGCCUCUUUUGGGGUCGGUUCACAGGUGGUGCAUGCCUGUCGUCAGCUCGUGUCGUGAGAUGUUGGGUUAAGUCCCGCAACGAGCGCAACCCUUGUUCACUGUUGCCAGCACGUUAUGGUGGGGACUCAGUGGAGACCGCCGGGGUCAACUCGGAGGAAGGUGGGGAUGACGUCAAGUCCUCAUGCCCCUUAUGUCCAGGGCUUCACGCAUGCUACAAUGGCUGGUACAGAGAGUGGCGAGCCUGUGAGGGUGAGCGAAUCUCGGAAAGCCGGUCUCAGUUCGGAUUGGGGUCUGCAACUCGACCUCAUGAAGUCGGAGUCGCUAGUAAUCGCAGAUCAGCAACGCUGCGGUGAAUACGUUCCCGGGGCU
This 1346-nucleotide ribosomal RNA is filed under the name uncultured bacterium. RNAcentral's name for it is "bacterial SSU rRNA". It matches the Rfam family "Bacterial small subunit ribosomal RNA", at positions 28 to 1381 of the family's 1533-position model. The record is from RNAcentral.